GCUGGAGGUGUGUAUUCUGCUAUCCAUAUUUCCACUCUAAUUGUAUCCGUUACUUUGUUUUCUUCCUAGCCUUUUAUUUCUUCUCAUUAUGCACUCUGUUAGUCAAAUGUUUCUUUGUCGAUAUGUCAUAGCAAUCUGGAACUCAAAGAUACUGUCUCAUUUGCUAGCUCGAGCCCUCGUGGUUUUUCAUUUAUUCAUGAAUUUCUUGCUCUUCAUUUGAUCUAUUCACAGAUAGAGAACCACAUGGCUGCAGUGGCAUGUGAUACGCCUUUCAAUUUCUUGAACCACAUGACAAUUUUAAAUUUAUCGAACUUUACCCUACCUAUGAGUAAUUUGUUUGAUAAGAAAAUUCAGCUAGAUGUUCAUCAAGUGGUUACUGUUUAUAUGAUCAGUUAAGUACUUGAGCUCAACUCUUUGAUAUCCUUUGAGAAGGAGUGAGAACACCAGAGAAAGGGCUUAAUGGCUUAUGUUACGUUCUCAUCAAAGUUUCCCAGCCAGGACAUGGCAAGGGCAUGAUCAGUCCAGUGUUGGGACCGCCGUAGCAGCUACAGCACCGCCACUGUUUUCAAAUGCAGCAUCAUCAGGAUUCUCACUCUCAGCUACACGCCCUCCUUCAUCAUCAGCCCUUCGUCAAUUUGAAUCAGCCCGGUCUCUAUGUUAUCCACCCAUCUGAUUACAUAUCUUAGCACCAACACAAUCUCAUGAACC
Long non-coding RNA from Arabidopsis thaliana (thale cress), 708 nucleotides. RefSeq annotates it as other RNA. NCBI's taxonomy places the organism in Eukaryota, Viridiplantae, Streptophyta, Magnoliopsida, Brassicales, Brassicaceae. The record is from RefSeq. The transcript is spliced from 2 exons.